UAAAUCCAUUUCUUUUUCACGUCAUCAGCCGCAUACAGGUUCAUUUCCCUCUCAAAUUCACUGCAACCUUAUCCUCAAUGCACACAGAUGAAAUAACUUGCCAUCUGCCCUCCCACCUCUUGAUUAUGACCUGCAACUCACGAGAGGUAUCAUCUUCCAAACCACAGACACCUCCCUCGUUCCUCUCUAGAGACCAGCCGACAACACCAACAUCAGAACUCCUCUCCUCCUUUGAUCUCCCUACACCAGCGAAAGAUUAGAGGUGGCGUUGCCGCUCACGGCGGCAGCAGUUGUGGAUCUGGAUGGCUGAACAACGACACCCUGUCCCCUCGUUUCCGACGAUGAAAAUCAGUUUCGUUUCGUCUUCACUACCGUUCCCUCGUUUCUUCACUACCGGACACUUGAAUAGCAGAUUCGUGGCGGCGGAGACGACAAUCGUGAGCGACGGACAGAGCCACUACCAGGCAGUGGUGGUGGCUGCGUUAGGGUACUUCCUCUGAUCUCCCUUCGUGGCUCCCUUGUUCAAGUAAGUUACAAAUUCGAGUUAAGUUUUGGUGCGGUUUGGUUCGGGUGGCUGGUUAAGGUUAGUCAAUGGGUCGGAUUUUUUUUCUGGUCAAGUCUCGGGUCAGAUUCAUGCUCGGAUCUUAGUUGGUUCAAGGACGGAUCGGGUUCAGAUUCGGGUCAAAGGUCGUUCAUGCUUCAGAUUCCAGUUUGGUUCGAGUUUCGGGUUCACGAUUAGCGUGUUCGGGUCUCAGUCAGCAGAAGAUCGGUGAGUUUUUUUUUGGGUUUCGGGUUAAUAGGUUCAAAUUUUGGUUCGGUUCUGUUUUAGACAGAUUCGGGUCUGGGCUCAGAUCGGGUUUGGUUCGGUCAGAUUGGUCAACUUCAGAUGUGGUUCGGGUUAACUCGGUCAACCGAGUUAACUGGGUCAACUCAGUCAACGCGAGUCAACCCAGUUGACUCGGUCAACUGGUUAACUCAGUCUCGGUCAACACAGUCAAAUGGUCAACGACUCGACGCGAAGAUUGGUUGCAUUUUCAAAAUUAUGGCAAGGUUAAUACAAGAACCAUGUGGAUUCGAGUACUUAGUGGGCGUUCGUUUUCUAGAAGUCUUAGCUUUAACUACUUCCAUUGUGCAAUGAAGAUACCAGUCAGUCACGCCAAGCUCUGAUAUUUCGGGGUGUGACAUUUGGUACGUGGCGCCAGAGUUGCAUAGGCCGAAAGGAAUUUUAGUAUAGCAGAAAAGUCCCAUCUCGGUCGUGAAUGUUGUCUUAUCUUCAUCUUUCAAGGCCAUAUGCACUUGGUAAUAGCCCAUAUAAUAGUCUAAGAAGCAUUUCCACCUAAACGAUACCAAGGAGUCGAUUUUUUUUGUCAAUUUCGGGUAAAGAGUAACAAUCUCAUGGACAAGCUUUGUGUAAAUCUUUAUAAUUGACGCACAUGCGCCAUCCACCAUUCGACUUAGGGACCAUCUGUAAGAGAAGGAUAUGUUCACUAAAGAACACAAGAUCUGGGAUUAAACGGUUUAUUGUGCGGAAUCUGAUAAACUGAGUUGUAAUCAAUACAUGUAAUCAUAAAUAUAAACGAUAAAGCUUUUAUUACGAUCAUACCAUAAGCGGACAGAGUUUUGACUCUAAACGAUACACGAAUAAGCUCCUAGUUAAUCUUAACGUUGUGAAGAUCUUGUUCGUAUGAAUGUGUUCUUGAAGGUGUGAGAGCUCACUUGUGCGGAUGAAGUGCAUGCUAUGUAUAAAGAAUGUUGUCCAUGCGAAUUAGGUUUUAAAGUCACUGAGGCCCAACUCCGCCCUAUGUGAAGCAUGCUUAAAGUUAAACAUAAGCGACUGAAACAUAUGUGAAAAUAAAACGUCAGCAUAAAAAUGCUUGUGAGUAACAUAGGUUUUGUGAUGAUGAUUCAUGGCUUUUAUUG
Molecule: long non-coding RNA, 1920 nt
Organism: Helianthus annuus (common sunflower)
Lineage: Eukaryota; Viridiplantae; Streptophyta; Magnoliopsida; Asterales; Asteraceae
Exons: 3
Source: RefSeq, a predicted model, not a curated record